Molecule: unclassified non-coding RNA, 306 nt
Filed under: plant metagenome
Description: partial contains 5.8S ribosomal RNA, internal transcribed spacer 2, and large subunit ribosomal RNA
Rfam family: 5.8S ribosomal RNA (bases 1-104)
Source: RNAcentral
AAAUGCGAUAAGUAAUGUGAAUUGCAGAAUUCAGUGAAUCAUCGAAUCUUUGAACGCACAUUGCGCCCGCCAGCACUCUGGCGGGCCUGCCUGUUCGAGCGUCAUUUCAACCCUCAGAACCCCUUGCGGGAUCUGGCGUUGGGGAUUGGCAUCCAGCCAGCCCCGAAAUCUAGUGGCGGUCCCUCCGCGACCUCCCCUGUGCAGUAGCGAUACCUCGCAGCGGGACAGCGGUCUGACCACGCCGUAAAACCCCCAACUUCUCAAGGUUGACCUCGAAUCAGGUAGGAAUACCCGCUGAACUUAAGC